GUGGAUCACUUGUUACCGGGUUAAAUCGGCGUGGUAACUUAUGCUGAACACCUAACCAGCUUGGGAGCAGGUUAUGUUGGAGAUUAGAGAUCAGCCGGUGUAAAAGCACCGCCUACUCACCAAUCAAUACUCGAUUGAUAACAGCGUCCCCGUUCUUAGAAGAUCCGGCGGAGAGAGAGAGAGAGAGAG
Etheostoma spectabile (orangethroat darter) is the source of this 189-nucleotide long non-coding RNA. RefSeq lists it as uncharacterized. The record is from RefSeq and is a predicted model, not a curated record. The transcript has 3 exons. Lineage: Eukaryota; Metazoa; Chordata; Actinopteri; Perciformes; Percidae.